UUUCUUUAAGGUACAUGUAAGGAGCCUAUACAUUAAAGGAAUGUAAUAUUUUAAUCCAUGGAUCAUAGUUGGGCUGUGUGUGAUGAACGCUUCACAAUCACCAAUUAUAGUGGUUACAUACAGAGGGUAUCUCCAGGUCACAUUUUGUUGCCGGCUGUUCACUAAAGGAAAUUUUAUAAAAUAAACUGUUUUGUAC
This is a long non-coding RNA of Anneissia japonica, 196 nucleotides long. RefSeq lists it as uncharacterized. The transcript is spliced from 2 exons. NCBI's taxonomy places the organism in Eukaryota, Metazoa, Echinodermata, Crinoidea, Comatulida, Comatulidae. The record is from RefSeq and is a predicted model, not a curated record.